AAGUCGUAACAAGGUCUCCGUAGGUGAACCUGCGGAGGGAUCAUUAACACAGAAAAAUGCAGCGCAAUAGCAGCAAUGCUCAUGCUUGCACUUUCUAUUCUCUCACCCAUCUAGCGUGAACUAUGAUGCCACUUUUUUUCUAUUAUAGCAAUUUUUUUGCUGUAAUAGUAUUUGCUUUGUGCAAUUAAUUAUUUACCUUUUCCAACCACAACACCAAUGUUAUAAUUCUUGCUGACACAUGUGUUUUCAUGUUCAGUGUAGUAUGACUUAACAUAUAGUAAAGUACAACUCUUAGCAACGGAUAUCUUGGUUCUC
RNAcentral lists this unclassified non-coding RNA (315 nucleotides) under fungal sp. RNAcentral's name for it is "partial internal transcribed spacer region". The stretch from base 1 to 46 matches the Rfam family "Eukaryotic small subunit ribosomal RNA", at positions 1786 to 1831 of the family's 1831-position model. Lineage: Eukaryota; Fungi. The record is from RNAcentral.